Molecule: long non-coding RNA, 5891 nt
Organism: Cercocebus atys (sooty mangabey)
Lineage: Eukaryota; Metazoa; Chordata; Mammalia; Primates; Cercopithecidae
Source: Ensembl
AAGAAAAUCCUAAAAAUGGGUUAAAUGAUAGAAUUAACAGAGUCAUGGAGUAAUUAAUGAGAUAGAGCUGAAAAUAAUACUCAGAGUGCAGGAGUUAGAUGGUUUCUUAUGAUGCCUCACAAUCUUAUGAUAUUAAACUGUUGUUAAUAAUAGCAACAAUAAUAAUAGCUAAUAUUACUGAACUCUAACUGUAUGCCCAAUAUAUGCUUUUGCUUUAGUAGAAUCUAUUGGCCUAAGAGCUUUGUGUCUGUUCACUUAUUUAGUCCUUUAAAUUAACCUAUGAAAUAGGUGCUAAUAAUAAAGAAGGCAGUAAUAUUAUCCAUUUACCACUUUACAGGUGAGGAAACUGAGGCACAGAAAAAAUGGGCAUGUGCCUAAUGUUACACAGCUAAUACAUGGCACAGCGAGGAUUGGACUGUGGAAUUUAGGCUGCUCACAAACCUGUUUUCCUUUAUGUUAUCAAAAUUUACUUAAAUUUCACCAUAUAUUUGGCUAAAUACAUUAAUAAUUUAAUGAAAUUUAAGGAAGGCUGGGAGGAUUGGUUAAAAUAGUUCUGAAAUAGUGCACAUGGUGAUAGUAAUGUGUGUUUUAUCUUCUGGCUAGGGGUUAUUGGGAAAGGUACAUGAAGAGGCAAUUCUUUUCUUUCCUGUUGUUAAUUUAUUUCCAACCCUCUGGAAUGAUUAGGUCCAUUUGACAGCCAAGAAUGCAAACACAGCAUGAAAAGUUCAGGAGCUACCCAAGCCACGAGCACCAUAAGGAUGGAACAUACUGAUGGCCAAACUGUUCUCCCAUGCAGCCAGGUGCUCUGGCUCCAUGCAGCCAGAAAAGAUGAUCUCCCUCUCAGAAGCAGUGAAAUGGCCAAAUUACUGCCCCAGAGGUUCUUUCCAACACAGUCAUGCAUGAACUCCUGUGUCUGGAUAAAGCCAAGGCAAUUCUUUGGAUGUCAAUCAUUUUGAAGGGCGACUUUCUUGCAUGACUUGGUAAGAUCUGAAAGGAGGAUAACCACAAUGGAGAGGCUGUGGUGAGGCAUCCCCAGGCAGCUGGCAGUCUUGAGCAUCCAAAUGUAAUUGCUCUGUUUUAUUCACCACAGCUUGCCUGCUGUGUUCAUCAGACUGCCCAGUGGAACAGAAGGUAAUCAGGGCUACGACGAUCUCAGAAAGUCAGGCACGCACAACCAAAGUUAAAAAUAUGUAAAAAACAAAUUACUCAGCUGUAAUUUGCUCUCAUAGAACCCGAUUUCUGGAUAAGAACAAGAGGAAACAGUGCAAAACUGGGGCACUAAGAUUCAUCUUCGCCAAAGAAAAUGCAGGGAGAGCUGUGAACGUUUAACAACUUCAGUACCCAGUCGCCCAUAGUAAGUGCUUGCUUAAUGCCUAGACGAGACAGGGAGAUCCAGAGAGAGGGCAACUCAAGGCAUUUCUUUUAUUUAAAAAACUCUUUGAUCUAUUUUGAAAUUUAGGAUUUUGCUUUUGACUUUGCUAGAUAAAGUUGGAGUAGAAAUGAAUUAUUCAUAUGAAAUAUUGCCUCAAUAACACUGCAUCAAAUAAACAUAAUGAAAAGCUGCCCAUGUUAUAUAAGGGAAGCUAAGUCACAACUCUUUUGAAUUGCAAAGUUAAGUACUCGGGGCUAGACUCUUCUCCAACAUUAUUCUAUGGAGGAAUCCACUUAGGAGGAUGUAAUGCUCAGAUCCUUUUUAAUUCUGGUCAGACAUGCAUUUGUGGUUUAUGGGUUUAAACUACAGUUGUAACCAUGGUGUUCCUAAGGCUCGCUUGCAGUCCUCAUUUGUCCAUAUUCCAUGCAAGUCACUGGAGGCUGGAGAGCAGUUUCUGUGACAGUGUAUCCGAUACCACUCCAGCAUUUUAAGUGCAGCAUAGAAAUAUGGUAACAGGUAUUCUCAUCCUCCCCAAGAAUUGUGCACAUUAUGAUGCUUUCAACAACACUAAAGCAUACCCAUGUCCAUGGCUUGGAGGGCAAAUUUUAAAGCAAAUAGCACCCUCAGUGAUCAGCAAUGUUCCUUUUUAAACAAUGUUUUCACUAAUAGAUCAAAAGAGAGAUGAAUAAGUCUAAACAAACAGUGCAUGUCAGGGGAAUCGAGCUCUGCUGAAAUUCAAUAGAUAACACUAAAUUUUUGCUGACGAUUCAACUCUAAAGAAUUGGAGCUCAAUAAAGGUGUAGGAAAUAGCUGAGUCAGCCCUGGGAAAAAUGGUGAGGAGGGCAGAGUUUGUCUUUGGUGUGGCCCUGAUCCCAGCCUUCUAUCCUUUGGAUGCUUGGGGUUCUACAGAAGCAGGCCCAUCACAUUGAAGUGGGUAUUCAGUGGUUCCUAAUCACUGACUUAGGGUUACUGAGGAGCUUUGUAAAAUUGGAUUUCUGGAUCACAUUCUAGACCUGAAUUGGAGUCUCAAGAGUUGAGAAGCUCCCUGUGCUUCCUAAGGAAGUCUGAUGCUCUUGGGACCACUGGUGAAGUGAGUGUGUUGAGAGCAUAUAAGCAUUGCAGUUGGCCCGCAAGGCAACCUCGGGCAAAGUUGUCGUUAUGAACUGAAUGUAUGUGUCUCCUAAGACUCAUAUAUUGAAGCCUUGACCUCUAAGGUGAUAGUGUUGGGGGUAAAGUUUUUGGCAAAUAAUUAGGUUUAGAUUAGAUCACAACAGUGGACCCUCAUGAUGGGAUCAGUGCCCUUAUAAGAAGAAGAAGAAGAUGACACAGGAGAGCUCUCCAGGGUUUACUUUUAGAGCAAGGGAGCACCUCGCACAGAGCCCAGCCAACGAGAGACCUCAAUAAACAGUAGAUGUUCUCUUUUAAGAAGCAAUAUCACAAACCUAAAAUAGUAAACAUAGUGCUAUUUAUAUGGUCUGUGUUCACAAAAUUACACUUACCAUUAAUAUUAUUGUAUUCUUAAAUGUAUAUAUAAUAAUUUAUAUUAUAAAAUUUAUGUUGACAUUAUGUUAUAAUAUUUAUAUAUUUAUUUAAUAUGCCAAAAGUGAAAUCAAAGCAAGUUAAACUUUUUAAAAGUUUGUUAUGCAUACAAACGAACAGUUUAAGCACUGGGAGACUUUGAACCAAAACUGGUAAGAAGCCUGGCUUACAGUAGUUACAGCACAGCCUAUAAAGCAUAAAGGAGGAAGUAUUUUGGACUUCUUUGUGAUUCAUUCUUAUACAUUAAUGUUCUUUUAAAGUCAAAUAGAGCAGUUUAAGCUGAUUCGUCCAUAGAUGAUUGGUUUAAUUUCACUGAAUUAUGCCAACAAAGAUAAAAAGCUCACAUUUUGUGUUUUGCUUCUAAUUAAAACUAUUGUUUCUGGGAAAUCAUGAUGACUGAAGUUUUGGCUACAUGGCCGUGAGUGGUUAGCCUUGGGAUAUCAAAACUGUAGCUUCUGUUUUUAUUAAAUUUUUUAAAACAAAUAUAAGGUGUCAUUUGAGUCACUAGUACUGUCUCAUUGAUUCCUUGGAACAAUUUUUAGAAACAGGAUCAGCAGGGGUUAUCUUUCUCAUUUUAUAAAUGAAGAAACUCGGUCUCAAACUGGAGGCGCCCAGGAGUCUAGCACCAGUAAGUGGCUCCAGGUUCUAUUCCAUGUGCCUUCCCCUCCGAGUCAUGACACAGAUGACAUACUGGGCUCAACUCUCACAAUCAUCUUGAGACACAGCCACUGCUAAUACCAUUUCACAGAUCCAGAAACGGAGGCAGAGCAGUUCAUGACUGUCACUUGGGCUGCCAUAACAAAAUACCCUAGGGUAGGUGGGUUAACAACAGACAUUUAUUUCUCACAGUUCUCGAGGCUGGGAAGGUCAAGAUGAAGGUGCUGGUAGAUUAGGUGUCUGGCGAGGGCCUUGCUCCUGGAUUGUUUACGGCUGCCUUCACCCUGUGUGCUCACGUGGCCUUUCCUUGGUGUCUGGAUAUGAAGAGAGGAAAGCACUUACUAUGAGGCAGGUCCAGUUCUAAGGGCUUUACAUGUAUGAGUUACUUUAGUCAUCACAACUACUGAAGUGUCCUUACUAUAACUGCCAUUUUACAGAUGAGAAAAAUGAGACUCAGAAAAGUUAAAUAACAUGCCUCACGUCACACAUUAAGUGCUGAAACUAUGAUUGAAAUGUAGACAUUCUGGCUCUAUAAUUAAUCCUAAGCUACCAUUCUAAACCGUAUUUAUGAUGGGAUUUUUUUUUUUUUUUUUUUUUUUUUGAGGCAGUCUCACUCUGUCACCCAGGCUGGAGUGCAGUGGUGCAGUCUUGCUCACUGCUACUUCUGCCUCCUAGGUUCAAGCAAUUCUCCUGCCUCAGCCUCCUGAGUAGCUAGGAUUACAGGCCCACCACGACGCCCAGCUAGUUUUGUAUUUUUAGUAGAGAUGGUGUUUCACCAUGUUGGCCAGACUGGUCUCGAACUCCUGACCUCAAGUGAUUUGCCUGUCUUGACCUCGCAAAGUGCUGGGAUGAUAUGAAAAUUUUAAAAUAACAUAAUGCCUAAUAAAUAUUUGUAAGAUAAAUGAUGUAAACUUCCUUAGAACUUUGUGUCUUCAGGGGACAGCAUCCUCAGAUCCAGCUAACUGCCUGGCCUCCCUUCUCACUUUUCUUAGCGGAUCCUAGGUAGAAUACUGUGCUUAGCUGUGGGUAAGAUUUCGAAUGGCAGGUGGCAUUUCCCCUUCUCUCCAUUUUUCUCCCUCUCUUUCUCCCUCCUUUUUUCCUCCAAAGUUAUUUACUGAGUAUUUGCUCUAUGACAGGCAUCACGCUAAGCUCUGCAUGUUCAGCAGUAAACAAGAUGACAUGGGUUUUGCCUUUGGAAAACUAAUGUUCUAGUGAGGAAGAGAGGCAGCGUAAUAAGUAAUUGACAAAGAUGUGUGAUAAGCAUGAGGCCUGGGGAAAUGCAGGGUGUGCCUUGGAGUGCAGGGCUGGGCAUCCUAAGGGUCAGAAAGAUGACCUUGAAGAAAUGCCAUCUAAGCCAAGACUGGAAGCAUGUGCUAGCCAGGUGAUGGACUUGUGCGUGAAGCCUUAGGAGACAAUGUUUCAGGCACAGGGAAUAGCAUGGGCAAAGGCCUAGAGGCAAGAUAGAGAGUUCUAUGCCUAAGGGCUAAUAUUUCCAGGGGAGACUGGAGAGAGCUGAGAAGGAAGAAGUUAAGGAGAGAUGAGACUAUGAAGAGUUUAUGGUAGAGGUGAUAAAGGGUUUGAACUUCAUGCUCAGAGCAACAGGGAGCUAUUGAGGGUUUUCAGCAGGGGUGUGGCAUGGUGAGAAUCACAUUUUGGAAAGACCACUCUGGUGACAGUCUACAGUAAUAAUUGGAGGGCAGCAAGGAUGGAGGCACAGAGAGGCAUAAGGAAGUUUCUGCGGUCAGCAGAUGGCAGAUGACCAUGGCCUGGACCAGGGCAGGCCUAUGGGAUGAAGAGAUAUUUAGGAGGGAUGCUCAACAAGAUUCAGUGAUGAUUGGAUGUGAAGGGUGACUAGUAUCCCUCAGGAAACACUCUUUAAGAGGAGCAUUAAGAAAAUUGAGCACAUUUAGUUUGAAGGGGUAGAGGGAAGGGAAAGCAUGAGAGAGAUUUUCAAAUAUUUAGAGCAGCAUAGCUGUUAAAAUGUUUUGAUUAGUUUUAUUGUCUCCAUUUGAAAGAGUGACCAGCUAGGAGUCCAUCAAUUAAAACAUUAUGUUGACAAAAUAUAGUAAGUAAAGACAUUCUAUGAAAUACAUGCCUUGUAUUAUGGGGUUUGAAGAGGCCUGAGAGUGUUUAUCAGCCCAGUUAUUCUCCACCACAACCUCGAGGUGAGAGUUAGGAGAGCCGCUGAGCUCCACCUAUUCAACGUUUCUGUUGGGCACAGAGGGGUGCAGCGUAUAUGCUUCUAGACUGAACAGAAGUGACUGCAUGGCUUCAGAUAGUAGGAUUAAAAUUAUUAUACAAGGAGGCAGACAUGAGCAAGGCC